Molecule: ribosomal RNA, 465 nt
Filed under: uncultured bacterium
Lineage: Bacteria
Description: partial 16S ribosomal RNA
Rfam family: Bacterial small subunit ribosomal RNA
Source: RNAcentral
GACGAACGCUGGCGGCGUGCUUAACACAUGCAAGUCGAACGGAAAGGCCCCUUCGGGGGUACUCGAGUGGCGAACGGGUGAGUAACACGUGAGUAACCUGCCCUUGACUUCGGGAUAACUUCAGGAAACUGGGGCUAAUACCGGAUAGGAAUCCUUGCUGCAUGGUGGGGGUUGGAAAGCUUCGGCGGUUUUGGAUGGACUCGCGGCUUAUCAGCUUGUUGGUGGGGUAGUGGCUUACCAAGGCUUUGACGGGUAGCCGGCCUGAGAGGGCGACCGGCCACAUUGGGACUGAGAUACGGCCCAGACUCCUACGGGAGGCAGCAGUGGGGUAUAUUGCACAAUGGGCGGAAGCCUGAUGCAGCAACGCCGCGUGCGGGAUGACGGCCUUCGGGUUGUAAACCGCUUUCAGCAGGGGCGAAGCUUGUGGUGACGGUACCUGCAGAAGAAGCACCGGCUAACUACGUG